Nicotiana tabacum (common tobacco) is the source of this 840-nucleotide non-coding RNA. Lineage: Eukaryota; Viridiplantae; Streptophyta; Magnoliopsida; Solanales; Solanaceae. The record is from RefSeq and is a predicted model, not a curated record.
UUUAAUAGGGUAUAAACCCCAACACUCUCAUUUUUUAUCACUCUCAAAUGAGAGACAGCCGCCAAGGCCCCUUAUCUCUCGUCUGCCCCUUUCUCCACUCCUCUGCCGCCCGUCGGAUUUAAUCACUGGCGAUGGCCGGCCGAUGAAAAUAAUUUUCAAGUUAUUGAGGCCACGACCCUCCGAAUUGAUCCUUCGGACUGGGACCGAAAUAAAGAGGCGAUUACAAUAAAUAUCGAGAAAAGAAAGACGAGAAUGUGACGAACCAAUACUUUGGACGGCCACACGAUUAGCUACCGUAGUCUCAACUAAGUCGGUUCCCGUUCUCAUGUCUAGACGGAAAUAAAAAUCAUAAUCCGAACCUCCUAUAAUAUUUUUUAAAACUAUUUUCCCAAAAGUAAUUUUUCAAAAAUAUUUCAAAUAAUUUUCAAAAAAUAAUUUGAAAAAAUAUUUUCAAACAAAAACAAUUUCAAAAAACAUGUAACUUUAAUAAUUUAUUUCUACAUCAUAUUAUUUUACUAACGCUUGUUCUCUUGCUUUGCGAGAUACCCUACCCGGAAGUCACCCUUCAAAGAUGACGUUUGGAGAAAAAUCAAAGGUCAUACUCCCUCAAUUGCCCCGCUUCAUACUUUCUGCUCUUGGGUGUACUCAAAAGAUAAACAUAGUAAAAUAUUAGUUAGUUGCCAUAGUUAUUUAGGUAUUCAUUUGUACAUGUUAGAUUAAUUACACUUAGAAUAACAUGAUUAGGCUAACAAUUAGUUUCGCCCUUAAUUGUUUUAUUCUAAUCAAUCAUGGGCUGCAUUAAUACUUAGAACUUUAAACACGUUUUCAUGAUCAAAUUAA